CUUUCAUUCAUGAACUUCAAAUACACAAACAGAACUCGUAAUAGUGUACUUUGCAAAAACCUCUGAAAAAGUUUCAAAUCGUCACUAACUUUACAAAUUAAAUCAUUUUGGCUUCACUGGAAACACGUUUAAUUGAAUCUCUGUAUUUAUCUACGACCGUACUCAGAAAAUUGUUCUGGAGGGAAAAUCAUUAAGCACAGUCC
RNAcentral lists this long non-coding RNA (203 nucleotides) under Mytilus galloprovincialis (Mediterranean mussel). The record is from RNAcentral. Lineage: Eukaryota; Metazoa; Mollusca; Bivalvia; Mytilida; Mytilidae.